Molecule: long non-coding RNA, 919 nt
Filed under: Prunus dulcis (almond)
Lineage: Eukaryota; Viridiplantae; Streptophyta; Magnoliopsida; Rosales; Rosaceae
Description: sRNA ncRNA
Source: RNAcentral
UAGGGAGAGGCAAGACACAUUAUUUGCAACUUGUGUUGUUAAGAAAAAUAUGGCAUCCUCGAAGACUUUUCUUCUUCUUGGCCUUGUGUGUGUUGUUCUCAUCCUCAUCGUCUCCGAGUCGUGCGCUAGCUGAAACUACUACUCAAAUUAAUCGUGAGUUUUUCUCUUUCUUAACUUAAACAUAUAUAUCUGUCUCUUUUUUCCACCGGUUUGUGAAUUUAAUUAGACGCAUUCCAAUUGCACUAGGGACCAUGCCAAUAAUUAACAUGCUAUGAACUUGGAACAUCCUUUUUUAGGCCAAACUAAGAAUCUGGAAUACAUAUGGAUGUUUAGUAAUUUUGAAUAUUGUAUGUUUUGCUCCUAACAGAAUGCAAACUGAUCAAUAAGAUUCCGUUAAGUGACAUCUCACCUUUUUUUUUUUUUUUUUUUUUUUUUUAAAAUUUAAAAUUUUUGGUUGUGUGGCAAUUCUUUCUUUAUGAAUAAAGCGAAUGGUGCCUAUGAGAGAAGUGGACAUGGACGGCAAGUUGCCGAUGGACGUGGUGGCUACAAUCGUGGAGGGCAAGGUAGCAGUCGACCCAAUUUAAUCAUCGGUGGAGAAAAAGGUGGUGGUAACGUACAUGAGCAAGACCCUGACAGUCGAGGAGGGAAAGGAUAAGGUCGAGACCAUGGCCACUAUGAAAGACCAGGACCUGGAACUGCUGAGAUUGAAACAAAGCAUCAGAUAACAUGUGGUCCUUAGAGUACUACUAUCUUUGUAUGUCAAUAAAAAGGUCAUUUGGUUGAGUUGUCUAAUGAACUCUCAAUCAUAAGCCUGUCUUUAAUUAAGGUUUAUCUAUGUACUCUACAUAAUGAUCAUAGUGUCAAAAUAUCUAGCAAUUCAAGUUUAUUGUUUGUGUGCUGAAUUCCUUUUGAAAUCUAU